GCAUUAGCGGCGACGUUUACCCAUUUCCUGGCCUGUUUGCUGGGACGGACAGGCGCAGUCUAGCACCGACUAGCCAGCCCAGAGGCAACGCUGGAUUGGCCUGUGCCCGCGAUGGAUGGGGACCACCCAACAGCCUACAGGGGGGUGGGACUAAGGGAGAGCAGGAACUAGGAAGAAAAAAGAGGGUUGGUCAUGAAGGUCAGCUAGGGAGCAAAAACGCUUGCAUAUGCGCCAUGUGACUGGUCCGAUGGACCUUGUGCUGCCACUCCAGGACUCAGGACUCCGGACUCCAGAUUCCACGCUGCCCUAUGGUCUACACAGUGCGCAGUACGCAGUAGCAG
RNAcentral lists this small RNA (341 nucleotides) under Histoplasma capsulatum. RNAcentral describes it as "hypothetical RNA". RNAcentral also lists the same sequence under 1 other name. The record is from RNAcentral. Lineage: Eukaryota; Fungi; Ascomycota; Eurotiomycetes; Onygenales; Ajellomycetaceae.